CUCUCUUUCUGCCCCCUCCCCUUCCCCUUCACAUCAAGACCACACAACCUCUCACCCAUACUCACAGAACCUGUUUACCCAGUCCUGCGUCAUGUCCUCUCCCCUGCCUUCUUUCCCCAUGGGAACACAGGAAAAUUAAGACAGUGUAAGAGUAUUUCUAGUGCCUCUGUAGAUCAGGCUGUAGUCAUGCCAGUCUCAAUGGGAGCUAUACCUUCUCACAGCUCUUUAACCAGAACUAAUUCUACUUUCAUCUCCUUGGAACUCUUAAAACACCCUUUCCUAGGAUGUGGAAGUGUGGGAAGGUAAAGGCAGAAAGAAGAACAUAAGGAUGAAAGCUUGCUGUUUGACGGAUGCCCUAAUCAAAUGGAAGGAUUUGACAGCAUGUUUUCUCAGGGUUAAAAAGAGCCUUCACUCACUGCUUAAAAAUCAGCAAGUAAAGGGCUACAAAAAUGCAUCAUUGUCCAGACUGGUCUACAAGAAGCAAAAGGAUGGCAAUUUUCUUAAGCAUGUAAGGUUGUAUUUUAGCUUGUCACAAUCCUAAAACAAGGUUGGAAAAGAGCAAACACAAUCAUGUUACUAAAGAGAAACCACACUGUUUUGUCAUCCAUAGCCAUACUGCGGUGUGCUGUGGGCAUGCUAUUGAUGAACUAAGAAUCUAUAUUUUAAAAAAUGGUUUGUAACAUUGCUACUUUUUGAUAACAAAGAUAAUGUUUUCUGACUGAUUAUAUAAUUUUUUUAAUGAUGGGAGCAAUAAAAUUGACUUACCUUACAUAAGCCAUUAAUUUUUACUUAAUGUAAACAAACCCCUGAAAUGAAAUAAAAAUUCUCAUGUCCAAA
Long non-coding RNA from Neopelma chrysocephalum (saffron-crested tyrant-manakin), 837 nucleotides. RefSeq lists it as uncharacterized. NCBI's taxonomy places the organism in Eukaryota, Metazoa, Chordata, Aves, Passeriformes, Pipridae. The transcript has 2 exons. The record is from RefSeq and is a predicted model, not a curated record.